UGCAAUAGACUUAUAUCAUUUUUCAUGGGUGGUAACUGUCCUUGUGUUGCAGGUUUGAGGUCUACCGUAAGGCUUGCCAACAAAUUGAUCUAAGGACAUCCAAGGCAUAGAACAAUGGUAAGACUAUUGGUACUUACUCAUCUCUCAUGCGUAAUGAUGAACUUGGUGAAGUAUGUCUAACUGUGAUAGUUAAUGUUAUGCAGCAUGGAGACCAAAACACCUCUGGUUUGCUUCAAUGCCAAUCAUGUCAGCAAAAUCAACACUUGUUUUUCGCCACUGCCUGCACGAUGUUACCAGCAAUGCCUUUAGCUUCAAGCAGACUGUGUAGAGGUAUGCCAAAUGGAGUGGCCCAUAUGUUUGCAAGUUGUAAUUUUGCAAAUUU
Molecule: long non-coding RNA, 382 nt
Filed under: Lathyrus oleraceus (garden pea)
Lineage: Eukaryota; Viridiplantae; Streptophyta; Magnoliopsida; Fabales; Fabaceae
Description: Pisum sativum (pea) long non-coding RNA (PSAT_LNC022162)
Source: RNAcentral